AUGGCUUUGGUUCACAAAUUGCUGCAUGGCACUUAUAUUCUCAGAAAAUGCUCUAAGACAACUGCUACCUUGCAUUCAUUUUUGGGUAUUCACUUUGCACACCACUCCAGUAGUCUUCAGAAACUAGUGGCUUCUCCUGGCAAAGCCUCCUCACAGAGGAAUACUGAAGGGGGUUGCCAAGGACAUCACCAGAAAGAAGUUGCUUUGGAUAUAACUUCUCCUGAGGAGAAACCUGAAGUUAGUUUCAAUAAAGCAAUUAGAGAUGAAAUAAAGGACCAUUUUAGGCAUUUGAAGGAUGAAAUUGUGGAUCAUUGGAUAGGACCCGAAGGCCGCCCUCUGCAUGAGGUCUUGCUGGAACAAGCCAAGGUUGUCUGACAGUUCUGGGGGAAAGAAGACUUGGAUAAGUAGAUAGUGACUUCUGAAAAGACGAUUGGAGGCAGAAGUGAAGUAUUUUUGAAAAUGGGCAAGAAUAACCAAAGUGCACUGCUAUAUGGAACUCUGAGCUCUGAGGUGCCUCAGGAUGGGGAGACUACCUGAAGUGGGUACUGUGCAAUGAUAUCCAGGAUUCCAGGGGGUGCUUUUGAGAGGAAGAUGUCUUAGGAAAAUGUCUUAUGAUUGGUCCCAGUUCAGUACUCUGUAUCUCCGUGUAUGUGGGGAUGGUUGGCCUUGGAUGAUGAAUAUCAGGGAGGACACAGAUAUAAUCCAGAGGAAAAACAGAUGUAUAGUUACUUCAUGUUCACCCGUGGGGACUCCUACUGGCAGGAGGUCAAGAUCCCUUUUUCCAAAUUUUUUUCCCUAAUCAAGGAAGAGUGCAGGAUGUUCAGAGUCAGCUUCUGCUUGACAAGAUCUCUUCUAUAGCAUUCACCUUGGCUGAUAAAGUGGGUGGUCCAUUCUUCCUGGAGAUAGAUUUUAUUGGAGUGCUUACUGUUCCAGCCCACACAGAAUUUGCCUAUGAAAAUUCUCCAGAGCUUAACCCAAGAAUUUAAAA
RNAcentral lists this long non-coding RNA (988 nucleotides) under Homo sapiens (human). Its description in RNAcentral is "non-protein coding lnc-ZNF582-2:2". Lineage: Eukaryota; Metazoa; Chordata; Mammalia; Primates; Hominidae. The record is from RNAcentral.